This 141-nucleotide ribosomal RNA is filed under the name uncultured Methylophilaceae bacterium. Its description in RNAcentral is "partial 16S ribosomal RNA". It matches the Rfam family "Bacterial small subunit ribosomal RNA", at positions 1241 to 1382 of the family's 1533-position model. The record is from RNAcentral. Lineage: Bacteria; Pseudomonadati; Pseudomonadota; Betaproteobacteria; Nitrosomonadales; Methylophilaceae.
AGGAGGUUGCCAACCCGCAGGGGGAGCCAAUCCCAGAAAACCGAUCGUAGUCCGGAUUGUAGUCUGCAACUCGACUGCAUGAAGUCGGAAUCGCUAGUAAUCGCGGAUCAGCAUGUCGCGGUGAAUACGUUCCCGGGCCUU